RNAcentral lists this microRNA (22 nucleotides) under Saccoglossus kowalevskii. Its description in RNAcentral is "Sko-Mir-4830-P1_3p* (star (passenger))". The record is from RNAcentral. Lineage: Eukaryota; Metazoa; Hemichordata; Enteropneusta; Harrimaniidae.
CUUCUUGUGGCCUCAAGAUGUC